Cyprinus carpio carpio is the source of this 3514-nucleotide long non-coding RNA. The record is from Ensembl. NCBI's taxonomy places the organism in Eukaryota, Metazoa, Chordata, Actinopteri, Cypriniformes, Cyprinidae.
CUUUUCCGCUGUCUCUCCUACUACUGAGCUCUCGCCUGAACUCGCGGAACAGUGACCUUCUCCGAGUGGUCCAGCACACUUAUAUACUAGAGAUGGCAGGUGGUGCAUUCGCUGGCUGGUGGACUAAGGUGGCCCCCUACUACACCAAAGCAUACCAGGAGAUGUGGGUUGGUGUAGGAAUCAUGACUUUCAUGUACUACAAACUUUCAUAUGGAGGUGAGAAGUCAAGUUUGUAGAAGAGCUCUUUAGUAGUGUGCAUACUGUCAAAAUAUCAUAAACCCUUAUUUAUUUAUUUUGUGGUUCAUAUUAUAACAAUGUACUUCGUAAACAUUGUUCUUGUCAUUAAAUUAUUAAUUUGUAUGUUAUCUUAUGUAUCUUCUAAGCAUAGCCCAUGCUCAUAGACAGUUUUGUUACACAAUAUUUGUAGAAACUUCUAGUGUCCUGUUCAAGGUAAGAGACUUGAUUUUAAGAGCUUGUUUAUGUUCUCAUUAAAUAUUAACAAUAAUAUUGCUGUUUGCAGGAAAGAAGAAAGCAGUGCAGUCAAGUAAGUAUAAGCAGGUUUAAAUUUUUUUUUUUAAAUGUCUACAGGGUGUCUGCGGGUCCUUAAAAAAAUCUUAAAUUAGGCCUUUAGGCCCUGUUUACACUAGUGCGUUUUCGUUUUUGAAUGAAAACGAUCCUUGUCUACACUGACUGUUUCAGAAACGAUCUCCGUUUACACUACACAACCUAAAACAUGUCACGUGACCAUUCAUGCAGGUACAGCCAUAGAUAUGAAUAGGUAGAUUCCCUAUUAUUUAAAUCGCGGAUGGGUCUACGUGCUUCGAGGGUCGAAAACACCGGAGUAUUAUAAAUGAUAGGUGUAAUCGUAGCUAAAGUUCUAGUGUAAGCCUUAAAUUCAGAUUCGAUUGGUCUUAAAUAUUUUUGGUCACAUUACCGCUAAAAUUUUACGUUUACAAUCAUUGGACAGACCAAAUAUUUUUUUUUCCCUCGCAGUAGCAAAAUACAAGUCGAACUACCUUCUUAAUAUUCUCAAUAAUAAUAAUAAUAAUUAUAAUAAUAAUAAUUAAUUAAUAAAUAAAUGAAAACAAAGGAAUCAUCGAAACGCGAGAAUGAAUCGUCUAAUUUUAUUAGCCUACAUUCAGUGUAAAUGGCCCUUAAUAACGGAAGGUGUGUUUCUGGUAUCAAGGUCACGCUGUCGAGGCUCGCUCUGUUUGUGUUAUUAUGAGAGACUUCAGAAUGAGCUUAACAGCACACAGAAAGUAACUCAGAAGAAACACACUGAGGUGAAAAUUCAAAAUGUUUAGUUUAUUCAUAACAUGAUAUAGUUAAGUAACAUACCGUGACAAGUGAGCUUUUUUGCUAAAUAUUCUUUCGACGCAAAAAAGAUUCAAAACAUCUACAGAGUGCACGCAUUACGUGAAGUCUAGUGCGCGUGCGCAUUUACAGUGCAUGAUUCAGUCUAUUAAAAUACAUUCAGAAUGAUCACAAAUUCAAGACAAUUAGGGCAGAAAAUGUAUAUAUUUAUACCACUUCGUAUAGUUAAUCAAUUUCACAUGAAGAGUCCGUUUUUUUCUCUCCAAAAAUUACCAUUAUUACAAAUGUGAUGGGGUUUUUUUAACAGUUGAAUAAACUAGAAUGUAAUUAAGAGACUUACGGUUUAGACACCAUAUUGCCUAUUUUUGCACUAUUUCGACAACAAAAAUAAUUCCAAACAAAGCCACAGCGCUGUUUUGCGUCUCUGAGCAACAUGCCGGUGUUUCGUUCCUGAAUGAAUCAACUGUUUAAAUGAUUCAGUUCAAUAGCAAUGACUCGCUCAUUAACAGUGACUUGCUGCCACCCACUGGCGCUUUUAAUUUCACAUUUAAAGUACCUUUUUAUUAUUUAAAUAAAAUCAAAUACCAGUAUUCAACGUUUUAUGUUUAAUGUGUAAAAACAUUAUUUAUGCAUUUGUAAAAAUAGGCCUUUAUAAAGGUAAAUAAAAAUAUGCAGAUUUAAGUAUGUAAAAGCUGAUAGAACACUGAUGAAAAUAUUGCUUCAGAAUAAAUUGUUUCCACCACCAAAAAUCUUGAUGCGGUGCUUUUGUGGGGAUAUUUUGCAUGGAAUAUUGUCUUCUGAUAUGAAAAGUUCACUGUAUAUCUUAGUUAUAAAUAUAAUUUAUUACAGUGAUAUUUUGUUUUCUUUUUAUGUUAAACACAUUAAAUAUUACAUAUAUGUAUUUAAUAUAAUGUGUAUAUCCAUUACAGGUUUAGGUCUUAAAUUUCAUAUAAGGUGGUAUUAAAAAGGUCUUAAAAAGUCUUAAAUUUAACAUCUUCAUGUCUGUAGAAACCCUGGUCUGGGAGAGAGGCUUUCAGACUUUGCUCCACAUGGGAGUUUUAGGUGUUAGGUAGAAAAACAUUUAGAGAAAACAGGUUAAAAAAUGUACAAAAUAAAACACAAAAAUAAGAUUCAUAAAUUCAUUAUAGAUGUAUAAGUAUUAUAGUGAGAAGGAAAAAAUUAAGCAACUAAAUAUUUUCCAAAUAAUAUAUUACAUAUUUGUAAUAACUUUUCACAGUAUACAGUACAUGCUGUAAAACAGGUCAUGUCACUUCCGGAUCAGGUCUUUUGCAUGUCCUUCAUUAAAUAUGGAGCUGUUUUACUCUAGAUUUCUUGGUUUGAUCAGGUGAUGUUCGACACAUACCCCAGUGGGUCUUUAUACAUGAAAGUAUAUAGCUGUUUUUUAAAAUUUAGGAUGGGGUUCUCUUGCACAAGUAUGAUCAUAUUUAGAGUAUCUUAAAAAUUGAAAAACCCUGGUCUAAAAGAUAGUUUGAGGCUCUGUUAAAAAUGCUUAUUUAUGGGAUAUAUAAAAAUCUUUCUGUAUCUAAUGUGACUUUCCUUUUCUCACAGAGCCUGCCCACUGAUUGGACCACCGGCUCGUCAUACCCCAUGUCCUCUCUGUACAUCUUCCUCUGAAGAACUUCCCCUGGAUAUCUGUAUUUUGCUUCAUGUAAACAAUAAACCGCUUGAUUUGGAUCACACUAUGGACAAUUCACUGCUUUGUGGUCUUUCACUCUGUCUUGCAAGAAAUUCAUAUCAGCAAACAUGAAACUGUUUCAUUGUUAACUUAUGGAAUAAAACUAUUAAAGAAGUCUAAAGUUUUAAUGGCUUUAGGACUUGAAUAGCAUGCAUUUGUUUGAAGGACAUAAAUAGUUUUCACAAAUAGUGUUCUUAAUGAUUUUCGUUUAAUGUGUUAUAAGAACACUGAUUUUGUUUUUGCAUUUUAGACAUGUUAUGUCAUGUUUAGUUAAUGAUAUGUAGUUCAUGUUAUUGAUCAGUAGUGGGUGUUGAAGGAUUAUCCAGCACAGCUUCAAAACAAAUGAGAAGUCCUUUAACCGUUUCUCAAAUACCUAAAAAAUACAUUUUGAAAUGAUACAAUACAUUGUAUAUUAAUUACUGGAAACUACUGAGUGAAAGUGUCGAACAUCUGCAAUAUAAGAGAGUAUAUUUCAUGUUGCCAUGUUGAACACCUGAAAGUAAA